Non-coding RNA from Parasteatoda tepidariorum (common house spider), 1891 nucleotides. The record is from RefSeq and is a predicted model, not a curated record. NCBI's taxonomy places the organism in Eukaryota, Metazoa, Arthropoda, Arachnida, Araneae, Theridiidae.
UUAGCUUCUUAACAAAAUUAAAUUGUUUCAAGUGCAUAUUAGUUAAUCUUGAUUGGUAUUUUAUUUUAUUACACUGAAAAAGUUUGUUUACUAACAUAGGUUAAUCUGAACUCUAUAACAAUUAUCUGACUGCCAAAUUAUGUAAAUUUGAAAAAUUGUAUGUUACAAAUUUCAAAAUUAUAAGUAAUUUUGAUCACUUAGAUUUUAAAUCUUGUAUGGUGCCUUUUAAAUCGUAAAAAAAUAUUUUAGCUCUCAUUACCAAACUUUAAAAUCACAAGAAAGACAGUUGAAAAUGUGGCUUUUUUUAUUUAUAUUUAUUUUUAUACGUAAAAAAAUUAUUAACAUACAUGAGUCUAAAAUAUUAAACAUUGUAAAAGUUUUAUGCAUAAAUCGCUUUUAGGGAAGAGUUUUGUAACAUUUUCUGUUUCUAAGUGUCAGCAAUUUCGAAAAUAUUUCCCUAAAGAUAAUUUUUAUAAAUCUAAAAUUUCAAUUAAAGUUUUUCUAGACUGUAGAGCUGUGUUUCUCAAUGGGGGCGUUGAGAGUAUGGUGAGGGGCGGUGAACUUGUUUUGGGCGGUAGGGGGGCGUUGGCUAUGUUUUGGGUGGUAGGGGGGCGAUAGCAUGUUUUGUCAUUCAAAUUUAAUUUUAAAACUUAUAAAUAAAAUUAUUAAAUUAAAUUUAUUUAAUAAAUAAAAUUAAUCUAAAAUUAAUAUUAAAGAAAAAAGAUUAAAUUAAUAUAAUAAAUUAAGAUUAUCCGAUACACCUUUUGUACCACCAAUAAAACGAACUUAUACACCUAUUCUCCGAUCCGAACCAACACAGCGCAGCGCUUGAGUCAGUAGUUUUUUGCCUCUGAUUCAUUCAAACUAUUUCGCGAAUGGCUCUGACUCAUUAAAGCCAUUUGGCGGAAAUUGAAGUGCAUGAGCUUUCGGUAUGAAUGUUUGAAUUGACUCGCGUUUCUUAUGAUUUACGUCACCUUCCUUUCAGUUUUUUCUCCAGCUCCGGUUCGAUCUCAUUGUUUAUUUGGCCAGAUAUAUGCAAGGAUUAGUUCUUUACCAUAAAUUAUUUAUUAAUUUGGAGAAAAAGUUGAUUUUCCUUCAUCGUUUGUAUUUUGCUGCCACCAACAAUGUCGGUUAACAAAAAGAAGUGUCAUCAAUACCAUGCCACGUACUCGAAGUUUGGAUUUGUUCAAUUGCUGUUGAACUCUCAACAGCCCAUGUGUUUACUUUUUAACGAAGUUUUAUCUAAUGAGACAAAGAAAUCUUUCCGUUAGCAGGAGCAUUUGCAAAAAACUCAUCCUAACAAACAAAAUAAAGAUUUGUAGUUUUUCACGAACAUCAAAAACAAGUUUCUGAAGGCACCAUCUGUCUCAGGAUUGCUAGCAACCUCAUCACGAAAAUGUGAUGAUGGUUUAAGAGCUUCUUAUAAUUAGGGCCCUAUAAGUUAUGCGAAUAUGCGGAAACCCGCAUGAUUCAGAAUUAUCCGCAUAAUUUACAAUUUUCCGCGUAAUCGCAGCAUAUCUGUAUAAUUUUUAUUUUUCAGCAAAAUGUAUUCGUUUACCAGAUAAAUUUCUCCUUAAGGGUUUUUUUUUCAAUUGAAAUAUAUCUUCUUUUUCAAUUCCAAGAAUCUUUUUGGUCAGGUGUACGUUUGCAAAGACUUUCAGUUCAUUGCAGAACACGCUCAGAUAUUAAUGGAUACUCUUCUCUUUUUCGAAACAUGUGGUGUAUCUAUUCACAAAGCUUACAAUAAGAUUUUUGAUCUGCGGUCUAAACUUCGAUGUAAUUCUCAGGCAUCAUACUCACGAAAAGAUUCACGCAACGUAUUUCUUCAAGAAGUGUUUCACAAAACAAUUGCAAAGUUGAAUACUUACUACUCUCCAGAACUAGACGUAUU